AAAUAAGUUGAGUUUGAUGAUGGCUCUGAGUGAACGCUGUCCAAAUGCUUGACACAUGCUAAUCGUACGACUUCGCUCAUAUUUGAAAAAUAUGAGCGAAGCAGUGGUGUACAGGUGAGUAUAAGAUAAUGUGACUGCCUUGGAGUAAGGAGAAAGAUCCCUUAUAAUAACAAAGGAACUAAGGUUUCGCUCUUAGAAGCAUGUAUCUCGUGUAGUUGUAGUAGUUAAAGUAGUGGUUUAACUAGCCUUUUACACGUAGUCGAAACUGAAAGGUUGAUCGAUCACAGUGGGACUGAAUAAAUCCCACGAUUAUUAUCACAGCAGUGAGGAAUAUUGGUCAAUAGCCUAACGGCUGAACCAGCAAUUUGGAAGAAUGUAUAGCAAUAGCUGAUUGCACCAACAAACAGUUGAUGCAAAAUUGAUUAUAUCAAAUAAAAUUCUAGGUAGAUUUUUGAUAAUGACAUUGCUUACCUAAGUCUUGACCAAAUUACGUGCCAGCAGUCGCGGUAAUACGUAAAAGACUAGCGUUAUUCAUCUUUAAUUGGUUUAAAGGGUACCUAGACAGCGAAUAAAGCCAUAGGAGGGACUAAUUCACUAGAGUUACUUAUGAGGGGGUAUUAAAGUACUGCAGGUGUAGAGAUGAAAUUUUGUUAUACCUCUUUUCGUAUGAGAAACUAUGGCACAGGUAUAGGUGAAAGCAUCCCCUUAUGUGAUAACUGACGUUGAGGGACGAAGGCUUUGUGUCGCGAACAGGAUUAGAUACCCCAAUAGUCAAAGCAGAAAAUGAUGAAUGUCAUAGAUUAGAUCUGCAAUUUAUUCUAUAAAUGAAAGUGUAAGCAUUCCACCUCAAGAGUAAUUUGGCAACAUUGGAACUGAAAUCAUUAGACCGUUUCUGAAACCAGUAGUGAAGUAUGUUGUUUAAUUUGAUGAUACACAAAAAACCUUACCACAAUUUGAAUAUUUAUAUUUAUCUUUUAUUGAUUUCUACUAACAUAUUUGUAGACAAUUAAAAUGAUGCUUAUGCCCCAUUUAUGUGACUAAGCAUCAAAAAAGAUAAUAUAUUUACAAGCGUUGCACGGCUGUCUUCAGUUAAUGUCGCGAGAUUUUGGUUAGUUCCAUUAAAUUAACGUAAACCCUUACUUUAUUUAUAUAUAAAGUAGUUCUCCGCUAUAUUGGAUAUGAUAACAGGGACUAAGACAAGUCAUCAUGGCCUGCCAAGCAAAUUAGGAAAUUGCUUAUGUGGGUGAAACUAUCAAACUCCGGGAACCUCCUAAAGCUUCUGAUACCAAGCAUUAUACGAAAGUGUAUUUGUGGAUGAAUUAAUUACUCAUGUAUGGUAAUAAGUCAGAAGAUGAUUGAAAAAGAAAUGGAAUAUCGCGGAUCUAAAUCAGGUUUUAUCUUAAAAUCUGUAAAAGAGCAACGAGUAGACGGUAGUUGACAGUUUUUUAACAAUAAAAAUUGUUUAAGGUGUACUCUAAUGGGUAUCGAAAGAUAUUAUCAAGUCAAAAACCUUUCUAAGCAAAUAAAUGCUUUAAGAACUUAUAAAAGCGCAACCCAUAUGCCAAAUAUUGUUAAAA
RNAcentral lists this ribosomal RNA (1577 nucleotides) under Cladonia stipitata. RNAcentral's name for it is "SSU rRNA". The stretch from base 10 to 1330 matches the Rfam family "Bacterial small subunit ribosomal RNA". Lineage: Eukaryota; Fungi; Ascomycota; Lecanoromycetes; Lecanorales; Cladoniaceae. The record is from RNAcentral.